ACUCAAAGGAAUUGACGGGGGCCCGCACAAGCAGCGGAGCAUGUGGCUUAAUUCGAAGCAACGCGAAGAACCUUACCUAGGCUUGACAUGUACGGAAAAGCUGCAGAGAUGUAGUGUCCUUCGGGGCCGUACACAGGUGGUGCAUGGUUGUCGUCAGCUCGUGUCGUGAGAUGUUGGGUUAAGUCCCGCAACGAGCGCAACCCUCGUCCUAUGUUGCCAGCGCGUAAUGGCGGGAACUCGUAGGAGACUGCCGGGGACAACUCGGAGGAAGGUGGGGAUGAUGUCAAAUCAUCAUGCCCCUUACGUCUAGGGCUGCACACAUGCUACAAUGGCUGGUACAAAGGGCUGCGAACCUGCGAGGGUGAGCCAAUCCCAAAAAGCCAGUCUCAGUUCGGAUUGGAGUCUGCAACUCGACUCCAUGAAGUCGGAGUUGCUAGUAAUCCCAGAUCAGCAUUGCUGGGGUGAAUACGUUCCCGGGCCUUGUACACACCGCCCGU
This 497-nucleotide ribosomal RNA is filed under the name uncultured bacterium. RNAcentral's name for it is "partial 16S ribosomal RNA". It matches the Rfam family "Bacterial small subunit ribosomal RNA", at positions 899 to 1397 of the family's 1533-position model. The record is from RNAcentral.